This 641-nucleotide unclassified non-coding RNA is filed under the name Hevea brasiliensis (rubber tree). The record is from RNAcentral. Lineage: Eukaryota; Viridiplantae; Streptophyta; Magnoliopsida; Malpighiales; Euphorbiaceae.
AAAAAAAAAAAAAAAAAAGAAUGAGAAAGAGAUGCUAGCCCCAUCUGGCUUAAAAGAAAAUAAGUGAGAUAAUAGAUCGUUGCUGCCGCUACUAAAUGGCAAAUAACCACUGCUAUUGUUAAGUAACCGACAAAAUGGCCAUUUUAAGAACAAAUUCUUUUUGCCUUUAAGUAAUGGGGGAAAAAACCUAUAAAUAAAGUCCGUUACAUUUCGUAAUGGCCAUUACUUAAUUUCUAAACCACUAAAUAUUUAAGAAAUACAUGCCAAAUUAUAAGAGGACCUUGGAUCAAAAGUGAAGUUGCUACAUUGUAACAUGGAUCUGACCAUUCCUAAAGUCCUAAAAGCAAAAAGCCUUGGGCAUGGGAACACCACUUCUUAUAUUUAAUUAUAGACUAUCAAAAUUCUAACAUUUAAUCUAUUAUCCAUCUACAAAAAUUUAUAUUUCUUUUUUGUUCAUCUUCUAGGAUAUCUUUUAUAUAUCAAUUUACAAAGUAUGAAUAUUAUUACAUACCUAUCAUUAUCUCUACAAAAUGUAGUGAGUAUAAACUUUUGUUCAUGCAAUGUCAAUCUAUUUUGUGAACAAGCGAAACUCCAAGAUAAGCCAAACAUCAUUUACCAAGCAAAUAAUAAUAAUAAUAAUA